GAUGAACGCUGGCGGCGUGCCUAAUACAUGCAAGUCGAGCGAACAGACGAGGAGCUUGCUCCUCUGACGUUAGCGGCGGACGGGUGAGUAACACGUGGAUAACCUACCUAUAAGACUGGGAUAACUUCGGGAAACCGGAGCUAAUACCGGAUAAUAUAUUGAACCGCAUGGUUCAAUAGUGAAAGACGGUUUUGCUGUCACUUAUAGAUGGAUCCGCGCCGCAUUAGCUAGUUGGUAAGGUAACGGCCUACCAAGGCAACGAUGCGUAGCCGACCUGAGAGGGUGGUCGGCCACCCUGGAACUGGGACACGGUCCAGGCUCCUACGGGAGGCAGCAGUAGGGUAUCUUCCGCAAUGGGCGAAAGCCUGACGGAGCAACGCCGCGUGAGUGAUGAAGGUCCUCGGAUCGUAAAACUCUGUUAUUAGGGAAGAACAAAUGUGUAAGUAACUAAGCACGUCUUGACGGUAACUAAUCAGAAAGCCACGGCUAACUACGUG
RNAcentral lists this ribosomal RNA (497 nucleotides) under uncultured bacterium. Its description in RNAcentral is "partial 16S ribosomal RNA". It matches the Rfam family "Bacterial small subunit ribosomal RNA", at positions 28 to 507 of the family's 1533-position model. The record is from RNAcentral.